AAUAAUAAGUUUCAAAAUAAUAAAAUUCAGUUUAUUUCUUGUCUUCUUCACAAGAGAAGAGACAAAAGGUCUCUUGCUCUGUUUUUCAUUCUUCCUUUCAAUAUUCCAAUAUGGUAUCAGAGCUUUAUUGGUCUUAGGGCCUGUACAAGCAAAACAAAAAUAAGAAGAAAUCUGCUGCAAGUAAAAGAGAGAUGAGUCAACAAAUUUAUGGUGAGAAGGAUAUUGAAGCAGAAGAAGUUGUCAUUUAGAUGGAAUUAACCGGAGGCAAAUGCAUUACUUGUCUAUGAAGAAACUGUCAACCAACAUCAAGGUUUGAAGAGCUUAGAAGGAAGCUUAGAGUUAAGCCGAGAUAUGAUUAAGGGAGAGUGUUGAAUUAUAAUCAUAUCUUGUGGAUGUUACAUUUACAUAAGUUAGUUACUUGAUCCAAUAGACACAAGUAUGAAGAGACACAACUCUUUGUGUUGUUAUGUCUAUUAGUUUUCUAUUUAAACCAAUUGUAACGUCAUGUAAAAUAACAAGUUUCAGAAUAAUAAGUUUCAAAAUAAUAAAAUUCAGUUUUGUCUUCUUCACAAGAGAAGAGACAAAAGGUCUAUUGCUCUGUUUUUCAUUCUUCCUCUCAAUAUUCCAACAUGGUAUCAAAGCUUUAUUGGUCUUAGGGCCUGUACAAGAAAAAAAAAAAUCAUUAGAAGUCCGCUGCAAGAAAAUACGAAAGAUGGAGACAACAACCUAUGAUGAGAAGAAGAAGAAGGUAAAGAAGAAGAAGAGGAAGAAGAAGAAGAAGAAAGGAAAGAGGUGAUGACAAGAGAGAUCAUCAUAAACCUUCACAAACAGAAUCAUCAAGAAGAAGGCUCCAAAGGGAUGAUGAAGAUAGGAAAUCUUCUCAAAAGAAAAUGGAGAAAACAAAUGUGAAGUUAGAGUUGUGGAAGGAGGUUC
Molecule: long non-coding RNA, 933 nt
Filed under: Capsella rubella
Lineage: Eukaryota; Viridiplantae; Streptophyta; Magnoliopsida; Brassicales; Brassicaceae
Description: long non-coding RNA (CRUB_LNC002687)
Source: RNAcentral